This 601-nucleotide long non-coding RNA is filed under the name Malus domestica (apple). RNAcentral's name for it is "long non-coding RNA (MDOM_LNC015608)". Lineage: Eukaryota; Viridiplantae; Streptophyta; Magnoliopsida; Rosales; Rosaceae. The record is from RNAcentral.
AAGCAUGUAGUUUGAGGUAGUGUUCCCUUAAUUUCCCGAGUGAGGAAAACUUCUCGGUUGGAGACUUGAAAAAUCCAAGUCACUGAGUGGUUGUGAGACUGCCGAGUAUCAAGGUGCAGUAGCAUAUGGUGGGAGUCCCCCAAGUCUUCAGGCGAAGAGAGUUGCCGAAUGAGGUGUCUAGCUAGUAGUCAAUGUCAUGAGUAGGAAAACUUCACUUGUUUCUUUUCGAAGUGGUAACCCAGGGCUCUUUCUUCAUAUAUUGUUUUUUUUGUUAUGAAGAUGUGUUAGGCCCAAAGAAGUGGAGGCCUAGGCCCUUUUUUUUUUUUUUUUUUUUUUUUUUUUUUCCCUCCCUUUUUCUUUGGAAUGUUUGUACAGAUAUCUAUAAUGUGGCCUUUGUCAUGAUUUUGGAGGAUGGGUGUAUUCGAAUCCAAUGAGGGGUAGGGUAUGACUCAUUAUCAUGUGCCAUGAUUUUGUCUUCCUUUAGCUUUUCUUUUGCUUUGCUUUACCAUUUUUGCUUUCCUUUAGUCUGCCUUUAGCUUUUCUUCAAUAUAACACCAUUUUCUGUGGCUCAGAUCGCAAAACCAUCUUCAUGAAAGUUGUU